GACGAACGCUGGCGGCGUGCUUAACACAUGCAAGUCGAACGGAAAGGCCCUGCUUUUGUGGGGUGCUCGAGUGGCGAACGGGUGAGUAACACGUGAGUAACCUGCCCUUGACUUUGGGAUAACUUCAGGAAACUGGGGCUAAUACCGCAUAGGAUCUCCUGCUGCAUGGUGGGGGUUGGAAAGUUUCGGCGGUUGGGGAUGGACUCGCGGCUUAUCAGCUUGUUGGUGGGGUAGUGACUUACCAAGGCUUUGACGGGUAGCCGGCCUGAGAGGGUGACCGGCGACAUGGGGACUGAGAUACGGCGCAGACUCGUACGGGAGGCAGUAGUCGAGAAUAUUGCACAAUGGGCGGAAGUGUGAUGCAGCAACGCCGCGUGCGGGAUGAUGGCUUUCGAGUUGUAAACCGAUUUCGCCGUUGACGAGGCGUGAGUGACGGUACUGGGUAAGGAAGCAACGGCUAACUACGUG
RNAcentral lists this ribosomal RNA (468 nucleotides) under uncultured bacterium. Its description in RNAcentral is "partial 16S ribosomal RNA". It matches the Rfam family "Bacterial small subunit ribosomal RNA", at positions 28 to 507 of the family's 1533-position model. The record is from RNAcentral.